Molecule: ribosomal RNA, 584 nt
Filed under: uncultured fungus
Lineage: Eukaryota; Fungi
Description: eukaryotic LSU rRNA
Rfam family: 5.8S ribosomal RNA (bases 211-364)
Source: RNAcentral
AGUCGUAACAAGGUCUCCGUAGGUGAACCUGCGGAGGGAUCAUUACACAAAUAUGAAGGCGGGCUGGAACCUCUCGGGGUUACAGCCUUGCUGAAUUAUUCACCCUUGUCUUUUGCGUACUUCUUGUUUCCUUGGUGGGUUCGCCCACCACUAGGACAAACAUAAACCUUUUGUAAUUGCAAUCAGCGUCAGUAACAAAUUAAUAAUUACAACUUUCAACAACGGAUCUCUUGGUUCUGGCAUCGAUGAAGAACGCAGCGAAAUGCGAUAAGUAGUGUGAAUUGCAGAAUUCAGUGAAUCAUCGAAUCUUUGAACGCACAUUGCGCCCUUUGGUAUUCCAAAGGGCAUGCCUGUUCGAGCGUCAUUUGUACCCUCAAGCUUUGCUUGGUGUUGGGCGUCUUGUCUCUAGCUUUGCUGGAGACUCGCCUUAAAGUAAUUGGCAGCCGGCCUACUGGUUUCGGAGCGCAGCACAAGUCGCACUCUCUAUCAGCAAAGGUCUAGCAUCCAUUAAGCCUUUUUUUUCAACUUUUGACCUCGGAUCAGGUAGGGAUACCCGCUGAACUUAAGCAUAUCAAUAAAAGUCG